This 253-nucleotide ribosomal RNA is filed under the name uncultured bacterium. RNAcentral's name for it is "partial 16S ribosomal RNA". It matches the Rfam family "Bacterial small subunit ribosomal RNA", at positions 524 to 776 of the family's 1533-position model. The record is from RNAcentral.
UACGUAGGGACCAAGCGUUGUUCGGAUUUACUGGGCGUAAAGGGCGCGUAGGCGGCAAUUCAAGUCAUCUGUGAAAUCUCCGGGCUUAACCCGGAACGGUCAGAUGAUACUGCUUUGCUAGAGUGCAGAAGGGGCAAUCGGAAUUCUCGGUGUAGCGGUGAAAUGCGUAGAUAUCGAGAGGAACACCUGCGGCGAAGGCGGGUUGCUGGGCCGACACUGACGCUGAUGCGCGAAAGCGUGGGGAGCAAACAGG